UACACUAAAAAAGUGACUGCAAAAUACCUAAUUUAUGAUAGGAUAAUUAUUUAUUAGAUUUUAUCAACAACUAUUUCUAUCGUAAUGGUUACAUCUACUAAGAAUAUAUAAGCAAGUACACUUAAAUGCCCGCGGUUCCACACACAUACUUACGCCUUUUAUCCUCUAAGAGGUAAGCAAAGGUGUAACUGUGGACCGGUGACAUGUAAUCACUUUUCGGCUUAUGUGUUUCAUCCCAUAGUGUGAUAUGGAGUGAACAUACUAACAUGAUUCUACUCACCGGCAAUCUGUAAUCGAAUUACAGAUCCUACUUACACCAAUCCGAAAGAUUUAAUUUGGUAGAAAUUUGUCCAACAAUUUUAGUGUUUAGGCGUGGGUGAUCGUGGGCUUAUUGAUAUAAACCUUAGACUUCAAAAAACCCCAAAGAAAAAAAUCCAAUGGCGUUAAAUCACAUGAUCUGGGCGGCCAAUUUUGAUCACCAAAACAGGAAAUUACACGACCAGGAAAUGACUCACGUAGUAAUUGAAUUGUUUCUCGAGCUGCAUGGCAUGUGGUGCCGUCUUAUUGAAACCACAUGCCAUCCACAUCCACAUCUUGCAAUUUUGGCACAAGAAAAUAGAUUAUCAUGUCGCGAUAGCGAGCACCAUUAACCGUUAUUGUCUGACCAGCUGCGUUUACGAAGAAGAAUGGUCCGAUGAUGCCUCCAACUCAAAAUACGCACCAAACAGUGACACGUUGUGGAUGCAUUUGUUUGUCAACAAUAACUUGUGGAUUUUCUGAACCCAAAAUGCGACAAUUUUGUCGAUUAACAAAGCCAUCAAGAUGAAAAUGAGCCUCAUGGCUGAAGAUGAUUUCCAAACCAAACUUUAAUUAUUUACAAAAUAUUGUUCAACAAUAAAAAUGCGUUGUUUUUUUGUGUAGCACUUAAAAAUUUAAGCUUUUUAAAAAUGUUAAAUAAGUAUCUGAAAUAUUUAGAAUCGUAAAAUCCAGGGAAACUCGGCAUCUUUGCAAUGUAAUGCAAAUUUUUUGUGGGGUGUGUUCUGGAUUCAAAUUCUGAAUCAUUCCGGAUGCAAAAACCCUCAGAAAACCCAUCCUCAUAAUAUCCUGAGAUAAUAUCGCAUCACGCAUGUCACAAAACUUAGAACCAUAGACAUUCAGAAAGUGUUUGCUAUGCUACAUAAUGUCCAUUAAAAACUGGAACGCGAUUACACAAUGCUGCCAGUAGUUUUGUUUUUUCGAAUGGUAAUAUUUUUGAAUUUCAAUUUUCGCGGUUUCAGUAUUUUUAUUACCUACCUACGGCGUCGAAGUUUUAAUUCGAGCUUGAAAAAAAAGUUUUACGUACCUACAAAAUUAAGAUAUCGUCUGUAAAUCUAAUCUAAUUAAAUAGUAAUCUAAGUUAUACAAACUUCCUAAUCAAGCAGCGUAACUUUCUUUUUUAUGCAAGUAUAGAUAAAUUUAAAAAUGUUUAAAACACGAGUGUCAAGACCUGAAAAAUACAAAUGUGUUAUUCGCAAAACCAAACAAUGCGUGGAUGAUAAACAGACAAGUAUGUUGGUGGAAACCAACACUGCAUACACUGGCCCUAUCACAAGGAAUAUGAGUAAAAUACUUAAAAUUAUGAAUGAGUUUGAUAUUUACGAGGUGUACCGAUGCAUGCCUCUACUUGGUGAUGAGAAAAACAAUGUACCAGACUGGGAUGUUCACAUUGUACAUUUUGCAGUAGUUUACACUGGAUGUUAACUAUAUAAAAAUAUAUAGAUGGUUAGAUAUGUGUUCUAAGGCUGUUUGUUAUAUUAUUAUAAACAUUAAUAGUACAAUGGAAACUUAUUUAUAUAGGAGCCAUUUCAUUAACUUUAAGUGCUAAGCAUUUAUACCUAUUUUCAUAUGUUAUAUUGAGUUAAUUGAUAAGUUUAAAUGUUCAUUUUGAGUUUUUAUAUACAGGGUAUUCACUUUUUUGUUAACAAAAUUAGCUAUUGAAUUUUUUUUUAUGUACACAGAACACAAAAUAUUGUAACAAUACUAAUCAGUAAUUUGUUAAAUAACAAACAAUUUUUGAUUUUUUUAACAGAAUUAUUUUUAGGAGCUCAUCAUACAUUAUUAUUUAUUAUAAGAAUCUAUAUUAUUUUUCUAUUAAGUUGAUGUUAAAAAGUUUUUUUGUUAAGUCAUAUCUUUAUGUUCCUUUAAAUAUUUUGUUUCAUUAUGACAAAGCUUAUAAAGCUAAUGUUAUGUAGACAUUUAAAUAAUUGUGUGUGCAUGUAUGUAGUCUAUGCACAAAUUAGAUUUAUUUUUUUGAAAUUCAACGGCACAAAGAAAGCCAGCAUGGAGGUGUGGAGAGUAUGCCGAGACUUCUAAGGGUUUGUCAGUGUGUAGCUGGAUAUGGGAUUAAUGUUGCACAUUGAGCUACCACAUGCCAUGUGUUGCAUCUUCCAUACAUUGUAGUAAUUCUCACACCAAGAGCACACAUUCAAUAUGCAACAUGACUAUCACAGCCAUCCUCAUUCUCUGGUAAGGCUUUUACAAAAGCCGUUUGCAUUUAUAGAUCAUCUCCCAAUCUACAUACCAGCUAAUCUUCGCUCAUAUGUAGACAAAACAAACCUUACAUAUUAUAGUGCCAAAAUUAUGUUCUUUUAUUUUAUGUUUGUUGAAUUUUCUAAUAAAUGUUAUGUCAUA
Molecule: long non-coding RNA, 2670 nt
Filed under: Manduca sexta (tobacco hornworm)
Lineage: Eukaryota; Metazoa; Arthropoda; Insecta; Lepidoptera; Sphingidae
Description: uncharacterized LOC119188973
Source: RNAcentral